GUGUCAGCCGCCGCGGUAAGACGAAGGUGGCGACCGUUGUUCGGAAUCACUGGGCAUAAAGAGCUCGUAGGCGGUGAGAAAAGUAGGGUGUGAAAUCCCUCGGCCCAACCGAGGAACUGCGCUCUAAACUGUCUUGCUUGAGGACCGAAGGGGACCACGGAAUUCCUGGUGGAGCGGUGAAAUGCGUUGAUAUCAGGAGGAACACCGGCGGCGAAGGCGGUGGUCUGGUCGGUUUCUGACGCUGAGGAGCGAAAGCUAGGGGAGCAAACGGGAUUAGAAACCCGCGUAGUCC
Molecule: ribosomal RNA, 292 nt
Filed under: uncultured bacterium
Lineage: Bacteria
Description: partial 16S ribosomal RNA
Rfam family: Bacterial small subunit ribosomal RNA
Source: RNAcentral